UGUCUCUUUAGGGGUUAAAUCUCAGUGUAAAGUUUUUAUUUUCUCAAAAACCCGUUGUCAUAGUGUUGGCUUCCAGCGCACAGGGCAGCGACCCCCUUUAGGUUGAUACCACUAUUUCCCUCCUAUGAGUGAUGUCAUUUAUCUUCACUGGGCUCUGCUAUCUUCAGAGAUUCUUCUUUUGUGGAUUUGCUUUCUGAUUUUUCAAAGUUUCAUGGCAUCAGUUUCUUCUAGUGGUUAAGAGGCAAGAUACCUUGUUGUGAAGGCUGUUUGCACACCCUCCUGGGGGCCAGAGCAAACCCUGCCAAGACACCAGCCAUGUUUUCGAGGCUUCUCUCCCAAGCAGACUGCAACCUCUCUGCAAGAAUGUGCAAACUACAGCAUGUUUGUGGCAGCCUCACAUACUGAUCCUAGAGCACCUAUAUCUUCCUCAGUGUCAACUUCAAAACGACCUUUCUGUGAAGCUUAGUUAGCUCUAAUACGAUGCAUGUCUCAUCGACAAAGUGAUUCAGAAAAUGCAAGCAGUCAUCUUCAUCACAGUCCUAUGGAUUUCCAGGCUAAGGGGCCAUACAGGGCAGGAUUGACAGGUAGGCCAAAGCUCUGGGUAGGGAAGGUGGUGCCAGGCAAAAGGUUUGGAAAUUGAGUGGAGGGCCUAGGACCAUUGCAGCCAGGAACUGAGAAAGCUGGAGUUGGGACUUGGGGAGAGGGAAGCUGUAGACCAUAGACUGUGGUCGGAGCCUCAGACUCAGGGGAGGAUGCGGUUGAGAACGUGGAGAGGGGUGUCCUUGGGGGAGGACCUGGGAAAUAAGCCUCCAUGAAAAGGUCCUGGAGCAGAAGCUGGAGCCCAAUUGACAUACCAUCACCCCAUCCCUUCAUGUCCAGCCUCUCUCUGCUGGGAUCACCCCCUGGCAACCGGCCUUUUAUGAAACCCCUCGGCCUGGCUGACAAAUCCCCAGCUUCACUCCAGGUGGUCACAAUCUGACCCUUGUGACCUCAUGCUUCCCCACCCCCACUUGUGAUUUCAUCACGGGAAGUUCUUCUCCAGUGGCCCCUGAUCCAUGGAGACCCACCCAGCGACAGCCCUUAUCUCCCUCCACCCUUGCUUCCUUCUCACCCAUCUCACCACCAUCUGCCCUGGAGAGCCAGAUGUCCCAAAUUUUGGAGUGAAACUAAUUGAGGCUCAUUUCCAGGACAGAGGGGUGAGCUGGAUCUGAAGAGCCAAGCAGAAAGGCUUCCCAAUAUUACUAGGUUGGGAGGGGUCAGAAAUGUGUGGCUGCCGCAGCUGUUCUGACUCUGCCCCCAGCUUUCGGCUCCACCUGCUUAAAGCACCUUCAGAGGUUCCCAUGGUGACAGUAAACAGGUCUCCACUGCCUUGGCCAUCUGCUGUGUUCACCCCACUUCUGAUCUUGUUGGCCGCUCAGGGACUGACAGCCCAGAUGUGCAGCUAUGAUGAGCAGAAACAGGGAGGACUGGAGCCCCCAGAUUUGCAAUGAUCAAGAGGCGUCCUAUGAAUGCAGUUUGCAAACGACUUAGGCACGCAGCAUCUCCUUUGUUCUCACCACAAGGCUGCAGGGUGUGCAGAUGUGAGCAUUAUUUCACUGGUGAAGAAGCAUCCUGAGAGGUUACAUAGUUCAACUAACGUCACACCAAGAGAUAACUUUAGAAUCAUCUUUUCAAGCUUCAUGCCUAAAAAUCCCUACUGAGAUUUUGCUUGCAAUCGCAUUAAAUAUACAAAUCAAUUUGCCAGUUGCUGGUGCAAGUCACAUGGCUGUCCUGGGUACAGUUUCUGCCACUGCAAAAGAAGAGUGUUCAGCUCCAUCAAAAUAGAAAUCCCUCUCCUGGAGUCUAAAUGGGAAGAUUGAGUUACUCAAAACUGACAUAUAUAAACAGUUUUCUUGUGGGUCCUCUGACAUCUUCUUUGUGUACUACCAUGAACAUUUCCUCACAAGAUAGCACCAGUCGAGAUGAGAACAAUAACUUCUUUGAAUGGAACAAUGUCUGUGGAUUCUGAAAAUAACAUACAGCAAUUUCUACUGCACUGAGACAAUUGCCAAGAAGAGGUUCUAGAAGACGUAAUUUAUUCUAUCUGUGGUUGUCAAAACACAUCUGCUGCCCUUUACACAUUUUACUUAAAAGAUCACCUCUAUGAAUAUUGCAUUCACUACACACUGAUGAGGGUUGGCCUUUAUGUGACUAUAAAUAUAUGUAUGUUUGGGUGAA
Molecule: non-coding RNA, 2217 nt
Organism: Macaca mulatta (Rhesus monkey)
Lineage: Eukaryota; Metazoa; Chordata; Mammalia; Primates; Cercopithecidae
Source: RefSeq, a predicted model, not a curated record